Molecule: ribosomal RNA, 297 nt
Filed under: uncultured bacterium
Lineage: Bacteria
Description: partial 16S ribosomal RNA
Rfam family: Bacterial small subunit ribosomal RNA
Source: RNAcentral
GAAUGAACGCUGGCGGCGCGCCUAAUACAUGCAAGUCGAGCGAGAAGACGUAGCAAUACGUUUGUAAAGCGGCGAACGGGUGAGGAAUACAUGGGUAACCUACCCUUGAGUGGGGAAUAACUAGCCGAGAGGUUAGCUAAUACCGCGUACGCUUCCUGGACUUCGGUUCAGGGAGGAAAGCGAUGCCGAGGGUAUCGCGCUCUUGGGAUGGGCUCAUGUCCUAUCAGCNGUUGGUGAGGUAACGGCUCACCAAGGCUUCGACGGGUAGCUGGUCUGAGAGGACGAUCAGCCACACCU